Molecule: ribosomal RNA, 490 nt
Filed under: uncultured bacterium
Lineage: Bacteria
Description: partial 16S ribosomal RNA
Rfam family: Bacterial small subunit ribosomal RNA
Source: RNAcentral
AGUGAACGCUGGCGGCAGGCCUAACACAUGCAAGUCGAACGGUAACAGGAAACAGCUUGCUGUUUAGCUGACGAGUGGCGGACGGGGGAGUAAUGUCCGGGGGAAUGCAUGAUUGAGGGGGAGAACAACUGGGAACGGUAGCUCAUACCGCAUAUCGUCGCAAGAGCAAAGAGGGGGGCCCCCUGGCCUCUUGCGCUCGGGUGUGCCCAGAUGGGAUUAGAUUGUUGGUGGGGUAACGGCUCACCAAGGCGACGAUCCCUAGCUGGUCUGAGAGGAUGAGCAGCCACACUGGAACUGAGACACGGUCCAGACUCCUACGGGAGGCAGCAGUGGGGAAUAUUGGACAAUGGGCGCAAGCCUGAUGCAGCCAUGCCGCGUGUAUGAAGAAGGCCUUCGGGUUGUAAAGUACUUUCAGCGGGGAGGAAGGGAGUAAAGUUAAUACCUUGCCUUAUUGACGUUACCCGCAGAAGAAGCACCGGCUAACUCCGUG